RNAcentral lists this ribosomal RNA (453 nucleotides) under uncultured bacterium. RNAcentral describes it as "bacterial SSU rRNA". It matches the Rfam family "Bacterial small subunit ribosomal RNA", at positions 29 to 524 of the family's 1533-position model. The record is from RNAcentral.
AACGAACGCUGGCGGCAGGCCUCAAACAUGCAAGUCUAGGGGGUGUAGCAAUACAUCACCGGCGGACGGGUGCGUAACACGUGGGAAUAUACCUUUUGGUUCGGAACAACGCAGGGAAACUUGCGCUAAUACCGAAUGUGCCCUUACGGGGAAAGAUUUAUCGCCAAAGGAUUAGCCCGCGUAGGAUUAGCUAGUUGGUGAGGUAAUGGCUCACCAAGGCUCCGAUCCUUAGCUGUUCUGAGAGGAAGAUCAGCCACACUGGGACUGAGACACGGCCCAGACUCCUACGGGAGGCAGCAGUUGGGAAUCUUGGACAAUGGGGGAAACCCUGAUCCAGCCAUGCCGCGUGAGUGAUGAAGGCCUUCGGGUUGUAAAACUCUUUCGACGGGGACGGAUAAUGACGGUACCCGUAGAAGAAGCUCCGGCUAACUUCGUGCCAGCAGCCGCGGUAAU